GGGUCCAAUUUCUUUGGAACAAGAUGUCAUGGAGGGUGAGAACCCCGUCUGUGGCUCGGAUACCAUUGUCCUUGUGUCGUAUCUUCGAAGAGUCGGGUUGUUUGGGAAUGCAGCUCAAAAUGGGUGGUAAAUUUCAUCUAAGGCUAAAUAUUGGCGAGAGACCGAUAGCAAACAAGUAGAGUGAUCGAAAGAUGAAAAGUACUUUGAAAAGAGAGUGAAACAGUACGUGAAAUUGUUGAAAGGGAAGCGUUUGGCAUCAGCCCAUGGCACCCGUCGAUCAUCCAGGCUUCUGUCUGGUGCACUUGUCGGGUGUCGGGCCAGCGUCGACUUUGCCUGCUGGAUAAAGGCCUUGGGUAUGUGUCUCCCCUGGGAGAGUUACAGCCCUUGGUGUCAUGCAGUGUGGUGGGGUCGUGGUCCGCGGUUUAUCCUAGGACGCUGGCGUAAUGGUUCCAAGCGACCCGUCUUGAAACACGGACCAAGGAGUCUAACAUCUAUGCGAGUGUUUGGGUGUCAAGCCCGUCCGCGC
RNAcentral lists this ribosomal RNA (526 nucleotides) under uncultured Archaeorhizomycetes. RNAcentral describes it as "eukaryotic LSU rRNA". It matches the Rfam family "Eukaryotic large subunit ribosomal RNA", at positions 177 to 717 of the family's 3401-position model. Lineage: Eukaryota; Fungi; Ascomycota; Archaeorhizomycetes. The record is from RNAcentral.